GAUGAACGCUAGCGGCAGGCCUAACACAUGCAAGUCGAGGGGUAGAGUUAGCUUGCUAAUUUGAGACCGGCGCACGGGUACGUAACGCGUAUGCAAUCUACCUUAUACAGAGGGAUAGCCCAGAGAAAUUUGGAUUAAUACCUCAUAGUAUUAUCGAAUGGCAUCAUUUGAUAAUUAAAGUUCCAACGGUAUAAGAUGAGCAUGCGUCCCAUUAGUUAGUUGGUAAGGUAACGGCUUACCAAGACUAUGAUGGGUAGGGGUCCUGAGAGGGAGAUCCCCCACACUGGUACUGAGACACGGACCAGACUCCUACGGGAGGCAGCAGUGAGGAAUAUUGGACAAUGGGCGCAAGCCUGAUCCAGCCAUGCCGCGUGCAGGAAGACGGUCCUAUGGAUUGUAAACUGCUUUUUAUACAGGAAGAAACACCGCUACGUGUAGCGGCUUGACGGUACUGUAAGAAUAAGGAUCGGCUAACUCCGUGCCAGCA
Molecule: ribosomal RNA, 487 nt
Filed under: uncultured bacterium
Lineage: Bacteria
Description: bacterial SSU rRNA
Rfam family: Bacterial small subunit ribosomal RNA
Source: RNAcentral